UACGGAGGGGGCUAGCGUUGUCCGAAGUUACUGGGCGUAAAGCGCGCGUAGGCGGGUUGGUAAGUCCGCUGUGAAAGCCCGGAGCUUAACUCCGGAGGGUCGGUGGAUACUGCCAGUCUUGAAGGUGCUAGGGGGAGAUGGAAUUACCGGUGUAGCGGUGAAAUGCGUAGAGAUCCGGAAGAACACCGGUGGCGAAGGCGGUCUGCUGGGCAGUUGCUGACACUGAGGCGCGACAGCGUGGGGAGCAAACAGG
Molecule: ribosomal RNA, 253 nt
Filed under: uncultured bacterium
Lineage: Bacteria
Description: partial 16S ribosomal RNA
Rfam family: Bacterial small subunit ribosomal RNA
Source: RNAcentral